UCGAUCCCUCGUUCACACAGCAGAUCAAUCUCCGUCGCCGCCCGACCGCACGCCCGAUCCACCCCUACGCCCAAUCCACGGCGGAUCCAUCUCUGUGCCGCGCCGAUCCAUCCCUCUACCGCGGCCGAUCGAAACCUUCACCGUCGCAGAAGGCCGCCGCCCUCCACUUCAUGAGCCGGAGCGAUCGCGUUGAGGAUCUGCCGGCCUCACACGUCAGAGCCGCCGCCCUCGCACGAGGGAUCCGGCGACGGUGCGCUUCAGGAGGACGUCAAUCCCCCAGAUCCGACGCUGUUCCCGUUGAGGGCAUGCCGCCGAUCACGUCCAGGUUCCCCCGCCGAUCGCCUCGGUGCCGCCCGUCGGUGCGGCGGACCCGGCGGCAGCUGACGGGUGUGGAGGGAGGUUGGGUAGAUCCAGUGCAUGCUGAACUGCUGAUGAACCGGCUCUAGCACUCAAUCCCUACCAAGGGCCAGCGUGGUCUCUAGAAGAGGUUUGGUCCCAGCAUGGUUGGUGAUUCCCAGGGUUGCCGGUCUUCAUCUCUCCUGUCCAAUGAUUCUUUUACUAUUACAGUUGAAGGCGUCUGUGAUUGGUGUGCAAGGCAGACUUGAGGGACGACCAACAGAACAUCCUUGAGAAGACGAUGGCACCCAUCAUGUAAUUGUUCCAUGGGAUUGUGACCUGCAUUGAGAUUUCAGUGCUCUGUGCUUCGCCAGACUGAGAUCAAAAAGACCCCCAUUGUAUCAAUUUACAUUCGUAACACUUUAUUAUGUCAAUUUGUUGAUUGUUCAUAAUGACACUGGAUAUUCUAACAGUUGCUCAGCCUCACGUAAUAUUCCAACAAUGUAUAUUUUUUGUAAUUUUCAUUGUUCGUUAAAGUUCUAGAUACUAUGCUCGAGUAGAGUAGGUUUACUAUAACAAUUUUUUUAGGAAUAACAGGUGCAGAAGGUCUUCUACCAUCCGUGGUGUGAGGGUUUUGAAGGAGAUAUUAAUUCUAUGUGACCAUGACAGGAUGAAAUAGGGGAACAAGAUUCAGGUAUAUGAUUUGAGGUUCGUAGUGGAGAAGAGCUGUGAGAAACUGCAGUUGCCUUCUUUUAUUGGGAACAAAUACUAUGGGGAUCAAGUCGGGGAUUCAUGGCAAGGGAUUGACAAAUUUUUAUCAAAGCAGUUUGCUACACACUGCAGUGUGAAAGAAAAUCCGUUUCGAAAAAAGUGUGACAGAAAAGGUGUGCUAUUGUUUCCACAUCUCCUUUUGCUAAUCACUAAUGUUUUUCCCAAGUCUUCUCUUCCUUUUUGUAUUGACCUAGAAAUAGUUUUAGCAUUGGAGUUAGUUUCUUCGAUGUUUUCAUUGUUCUUAUCGGGAAGUGUGAAGUGAAAAUCCCAAGUCCCAGGUUUGCAUAGGCCCUUAUUACUGGUGUGCUGGUAUGGACACAUGAGGGGUGUGCUAUGGAUAUUUUUAUGUGAGAUAUUUGUUUCUCAUUUUAGUGGUCAUUCAAGUGUGAGUUAUGUGUAUCUGUAACAUGCAAUUGAGUGCCGAAACUUUCAUUAUACCUUAUCAAGGCCAUUUACAGGUUUACAUGAGCAUUUAGUUAGCAGCCUCAUGACCUCAACUAUGCAUUAUCUGUUGAUCUAACUAUCUCCUAAUCUUUUUUCUCAGAUUUUAGUUACCCAUUGCUUACACAAUGAUAGUAAGACCAAUUGCAGGGAUGUUUGAUCUUGCUCUUGUUCUGCAUGGAGGUAGGGUACAGUUGAUGUUUCAUGUUUGGUGAAAGAAAAGGAGCUUCCUAUGUGGAUUUCGGGCAAGACAUACAUUCUGCUAUACAUUAGUAGAUUAAUUGCUUCUCUGUGUAGGGGGACGAUUAGUGAUUAAAUCUCUCGGUCAUGUUUCAUGAUCAUCCAAUUAAUUUACCCCCAUCUAUGCAUAAAUUGGUCUGAUUGAGUUGUGCCAUUUUUAUAUAAUAAUCUAUAUUGGUCCUAUAUAUGACUAGAACAAUAUGAUACGACGCACAUCGGUCUGCUUUACUGGCAUCUACUCCCUCCGUUCCAUAUUACUUGUCGCUGAUUUAGUACAAAGUUGUACUAAAUCAGUGACGAGUAACAGCGACAAGUAAUGUGGAAAGGAGGGAGUAUCUUUCAUGGUGAAGGAGGGGAGGCACUCGUGUGGAGCUGCGAAAUGUUCAAGGAGAUACGGCUGAUUAAACUAGGUUAUUUUAAAGUUCUUUAUGGUUCAUGUUAGCUAUCUAUCAGUAAUAGUACAACCUUGAUUUUUAUGUGGUUCAUGUUUACCUAACCAUCAGUAACAUUACUUUCUGUUGGAGACUUUUUACAGGAGGUGCUUAUAAAAUGAUAUGAACAAGUAAAAAAUUUGGAUCGCGAUCAUCUAUUACCAGUCAUUGAUCAAAAUCUAGAAUUCUUUGUUGUGUGCCGCAUGGAAAAGACAGAGAUUAUUUGAUAUAUUCGAUAGCGCAAUAUAAUUUUCUCUUGCAUAUUUAUAAUCUGCCAUUUGAAUCAUGUUUUCUAUGUUGUAGUCCAAUCAAGACAAUUUGCAGCUUUGGUGUUGUGACGUUGGUGGCCGUGCUCAGCGGCAAUGGGGGACUGUUGUUGAUGGCUGACCUGAGAUGCCAGCGAAGGAACGAGAGUCAAUGAGGAGUGCACGCCAUGGGUUCGUGAACUGGCCAAGCCACCGUUGUUCGUUUGGUAAUGUCCGACGCAUUAGAGGCAUAGUAUGACUUGAGCCGAUUUUGACGUCAUCUAUCAACAUCUGACGAAGGGGAACCUGUCCUGGUUUCCAUCUUGAUGGACUUAACAUGAUGCAUGCAAGGAUAUACUAAAACUAUCACACCAAAGGCGAGGAUCCUUGAUCUCCACCAUAGCGAUGAAGCCAGUGUAGGAGUCGCCGUCUUCGCCAAGGAUAGUCACAAUGACGGAAAGAGUCUGGCCACACCGCCUAUUCACAUAAAUCAUCAUAUUGGCAGCCUGGAAUAUUUGGAAACAAAGAAAUAGAUGCUAGUUUGAGGGUAUGAAGCCUUUUGUUCUCAUGCAUAGGGUUAUCCCUGACUUCUCUGUUUUUUAGAUUUACAUGCUAUCUUUAUGUGUGCUUUGUUACUAUUUCUCUUUUGUUCUAGGUCUACUUUCAUGAUGUAAAUAUUUGUACACUGUGCGACUUAUAUAUAUACUAGGCAAAGAAAAGAAGGAGCCUCUCCUGAUGUUUUCUCUAUUAAAAAAUAUUUAUCUCAAAGUACACUAGAAAUGUAUAGAAACACAAAAGCGCUACUUGCUCUGUUCAUGAAAUACAUAUCUUGUAACCAUAGUGUGGGAUAUGCAUGGGUUUAACCCACUCAACUAUAUCGAAGACUUGAAAUUUUUCUUCUCCCGUUCCAAUUAACAGGCUGCAAGCCGAGGUUGUCUUUUCCUUGUUUCUAUGAGGUGUCGUAGUUCUUCUAUUUUAAUUAACCGCAUUAUCAUAAAUACAAAGAAUCUCAUCUGUUUUAGGUGAGUAUCAAAGAAAGAAGCAUGUGAUACGAUUCUAGCUAUUUUUCUUUGCAAGCGUGAUUUUAAUCCUGAGGUAGGAGGGUUCAUACAAGUGGAACUAUCAUCUCUCAUGCUAGGCUUAGAAAAUAAAAAUGAGAGAAAUUAGCAAUUAUUAAUGUAUAACAUUGCAAAAUUGUAUGGAAAAUUUAUUUAUUUUGUCAGAACUUUUAGGUGGGUGUGGAUGGAGAAUGUUGGAAGACAUUCAAAGGUAGGAUGAUGGGAAUGCCUAUGGCAAUUUGGCAAACUUGGAGAAAACAGAUGCGAUUUUGAGUUAAUGUAGAGCUGAGGGCAAGCUGCUCGUAUUCAUCUGUUUGGCCAGGAGUUAGGGAUGAUGGGACUCAACAAUUAGAUCGAUUUGGAGUGAACACAGAUUUGGAGUAGGGUGACAACAUAGGAAAGUUUUAUUUUUGAGACAAACAUAGGAAGGUAAUAGCAUAAUGUUCAAAGAGAUGAGUUGAGGGGAUCGUGAUAGAUUCAUUUGUUGGCCCGUGGCAACGCACGAGCGUUUUACUAGUGUUAGUUACUGUACACAAUGGAACUGAACAUGUAGACCAAAAGAGACGAGCCUUGCAUGGCAAUAAAAUUUCAUGUAGAUAUCGCUCCAUGGUGGGUGCGAAGGCAGCCCCCUCCACCUAUUUCGGCUUGUAAUCAAUAGGAAGAUAACUAUUCUGAGGGGGAUUCAGACGGAGAACAUCUCUCCUAUUUACCCCUUGAGGUCUUCGCUCUAACUUGGCAUGCUGUUGUUGGUAAUAUCAUGCAUAUGGUGCCUUGCAUUUCUUACUUUAUACAUAAAAGAUGUCAUCUUCUUAGUUUAGACAUCCUUUCUGUGAAUGCAAUCUGUUUAGUUUCCUUAUCGUAUACGUGAAUCAUGCAAUGCCAUCUUGUUUAGCCAGACAUCAUAUAUGUGAAUUUUGGAAGGCCACCCUGGU
Molecule: long non-coding RNA, 4454 nt
Organism: Triticum dicoccoides
Lineage: Eukaryota; Viridiplantae; Streptophyta; Magnoliopsida; Poales; Poaceae
Exons: 6
Source: RefSeq, a predicted model, not a curated record